GGGGAGGGCAUAGGAGAGGGUUGAUAUAAAAUGCAAUUACAGCCUCUUAUGCUUUCCAAAGUGGGGGAUGAUUCAAUGAUUCCUGACUGGUCCACAGCCAUAUAUCAAUUGAGGUUAUAAUACUAAUUUGAAUUGCAAAUCUCUGAAAAGAAGGGGACAAGCUAAGGAGAUAAAAUUUAACAGGGUGAGUCCUGAAUUUAGAUUUAAACAAACUCCACAAGUAUAAGAAGGCAGAGGCUGGCAACAGUACUUGCUGUCAUGUUUAGUCGGCCACUGGUCAGUCUGAGACAGCAGUGGGUGUGAUCGUGUAGCAGCUAUGGAAAGCUUAUGCUGCAUUUAAUAAUAAUAGUCAUACUUUAAAGCAUGUUUCAGUUAUGAAUUCAUUCUGACCAGAAAAGUAACUUGCACUAGCUUAACAGUCAAAUAGCAAGAAGCAUAGAGAAGUGGCCGCUUGCUGUGCUUCAGCAGCUCAACAGUGUCUCUAUUCUCUUAGCCUCUUCCUCCUGCUUGCCACCUCUCAGUCACAAGACGGCUGCUGCGACUCAGGCUCAUGUCCCAAUUCAAGGCAGCAAGAAGGCCAUGGAGCGGCACCUGCCAGGUAUGUCCCUUUCCCAGGCAUCCCCAGCAGAUUUCUCACUGUCUGAAACUGCAUCCCACGGCGUUCUUAGGUGCGAGGCUGGUCUGGAGAGUCAAUGCUUGGGUUUUCCAAUACCUGCAUGGGACAUGGGCAAGAUGGAAGGGAGUUGGGUUUAGGAAACCAGUAGUGCCAGCCCUUUACUCGUAUCAUAUCUGAUCCCCACAGCAACCCUGAGGAGUAGCUAUUUAUCAUCCUUAUUGAGCAAAUGAAGAAAAUCAGAACCAGCAACAUCAAGAAAAAAUGAGGAAAGACAUACAUUAGUAAAUAAUAAAGCCAGGGUUCCAAUUCAGAUCAGGUUGAAUCCAAAAUUCCUCUCCCUGCCAUUAUAACGCAUCACAGUGUUCAGGUCAUGUGGGUCUGGGAAGGAUGAAUCAUAUUCAACUAUCCCACCACG
This is a long non-coding RNA of Homo sapiens (human), 1031 nucleotides long. Ensembl annotates it as MIR3945 host gene. NCBI's taxonomy places the organism in Eukaryota, Metazoa, Chordata, Mammalia, Primates, Hominidae. The record is from Ensembl.